RNAcentral lists this transfer RNA (73 nucleotides) under Procavia capensis (Cape rock hyrax). Its description in RNAcentral is "tRNA-Val (AAC) (tRNA-Val-AAC-11-1)". It matches the Rfam family "tRNA". From Rfam's summary of the family: Transfer RNA (tRNA) molecules are approximately 80 nucleotides in length. Their secondary structure includes four short double-helical elements and three loops (D, anti-codon, and T loops). Lineage: Eukaryota; Metazoa; Chordata; Mammalia; Hyracoidea; Procaviidae. The record is from RNAcentral.
GUUUCCGUAGUGUAGUGGUUAUCACGAUCACCUAACGAGUGAAAGGUCCCUGGUUCAAAACCCGGUGGAAACA